This is a non-coding RNA of Vigna umbellata (rice bean), 2924 nucleotides long. NCBI's taxonomy places the organism in Eukaryota, Viridiplantae, Streptophyta, Magnoliopsida, Fabales, Fabaceae. The record is from RefSeq and is a predicted model, not a curated record.
CCGAAGAAACUUUUAUCCUUGUGGAAGAGUUGACUUGGCCAAACUAAGCCCUAGACAUAAGUGCUUAUGCAAUAAAAGUUGGCUUAACCUGUAGGUAGUGCCGCAAUCACUGUAGUUGUGUUCUUCGCAAUUUUCUCUGCACAAGAUAUUCAUUCCCCCCAAAACCAACCGUUCAAUUCAGUUCUCCUUUUUCAUCUACCUGUAUUUUCUUCCUUUCUUCCUUCAUUCAUUUCUCUUUCUGAAAUCUUGAUUGGGACUAUCCCUUUGGUUCUUAAUGGGAAAGCCCUCAGGGAAGAAGAAGGGUAUCGCUACUCCGGCUACUGCAAAUUCACAUGCCAAACCUGCCAAGUCCUCCAAGGCUUUCGAUGAAGAUACAGCAAUGUUCAUUAACAUGUCACAAGAGUUCAGAGAAGAAGGUAACAAGUUGUUUCAGAAGAAGGAUCACGAAGGCGCCAUGCUCAAGUACGAGAAGGCACUGAAGCUGCUUCCGAAGAACCACAUAGAUGUCGCACACCUUCAUACCAACAUGGCCACGUGUUACAUGCAAUUGGGUCUCGGGGAAUACCCUCGAGCCAUUCACGAAUGCAAUUUGGCGCUGGAAGUGUCUCCAAGGUACAGCAAAGCUCUUCUGAAAAGAGCCACAUGCUAUCGUGAGCUUAAUCGCUUGGAUUUGGCGCUAAGGGAUGUUAAUCUUGUUUUGAGCAUGGAGCCAAAUAACCUCACCGCUUUGGAGCUUCUCGAGAGUCUCACGAAGUCAACGGAAGAAAAGGGGGUCCCUGUUGAUGAUAAAAGGGUGGCUUUUGAUACCACCGUUUAUCAUUCUCCUUCUCCUUCUUCGCAAAAACUGAAGAAGAAGAGAGGUAAAAAAAUUGAGGACAAAGUGGUUGUGGAGGAAAAGCUGGGUGUGAUUGUUGAGGAUAAAAAGGUGGUUUCCAAACGAAUUGGGCAAGAAGGCAAGGCGGUUUCCAAAACAAUAGGGCAAGAAGGCAAGGUGGUUUCAAAAACAAUUGAGCAAGUAAAAGAGUUGGAUUCAAAAACAAUUGAGCAAGAAAAAAAGGUGGUGGAAAUCAAACCUGUGGAGGAAGAAAAAACUGUCACGAUCACAAGGAGCGUGAAGUUGGUGUUUGGAGAAGAUAUAAGGUGGGCUCAGUUACCCGUGAAUUGUAGCGCGAAGUUGGUGAGGGAUAUAGCCAGGAAUCGGUUUCCAGGUUUGAAGGGAGUUCUUGUCAAGUAUAAGGAUAAAGAAGGUGAUUUGGUUACUAUCACUACUACAGAUGAACUAAGGUUAGCUGAAAAGUCUGCUCCUGAGAAGGCAUCGUUUAGGCUUUAUAUUACUGAGGUCAGUCCAGAUCAAGAACCUUCUUAUGAUGGAACAACAACCUAUGGGAAUGAAGUGCAAAGGGAUGGUGAAAAUCAAAAUGAUGGUGUUGAGAAUAGGGGUACGGAAGAAGGCAGAGAUGAAGAUGCUGCAAAAAGGAUGAUUACUGUGGAGGACUGGCUUCUCCAGUUUGCAAGGCUGUUCAAGAACCAUGUAGGGUUUGAGUCUGAUUCUUAUCUAGACACUCAUGAGUUUGCAAUGAAGCUGUACGGAGAAGCGAUGGAAGAUACGGUAGCAAGCAAUGAUGCUCAAGAACUUUUUGGAAUUGCUGCUGAUAAAUUUCAAGAGAUGGCUGCCUUGGCACUGUUUAACUGGGGAAGUGUUCAGAUGUCCAGGGCAAGGAACCAAGGUUUCUUUUCGGAGGAUGGGGCUAGAGAAUCUUCCUUGGAGCAUAUAAAAGCUGCAUAUGAGUUGGCACGAAAGGAGUACGAGAAAGCAGAAUUGAGAUAUGAAGAAGCCUUGAAAAUCAAACCUGACUUCUACGAAGGAUAUCUUGCUCUUGGGCAUCAGCAGUUUGAGCAAGCAAGGCUGUGCUGGUGUUAUGCAUUGGCAUGCAAGGACUCAAAUGCUGGCUUUUCUGAGGAGGUUCUACAACUUUAUAACAAGGCAGAGGAUAGCAUGGAGAAAGGCAUCUUGAUGUGGGAGGAGGUUGAGGAGCAGCGUUUGAAUGGAAUAUCCAAAUCAGAUAAAUAUAAAGAACAGUUAGAGAAAAUGGGCUUGGAUGAUCUUUUCAAAGAUGUUUCUGAUGAUGAAGCUUCAAAGCAAGCUGCAAAGAUGAGAUCUCAGAUACACCUUCUAUGGGGAACCUUGUUGUAUGAACGUUCUGUUGUGGAAUAUAAGCUUGGCCUUCCCACAUGGGAGGAAUGUUUGGAGGUUGCUGUUGAAAAAUUUGAACUAGCUGGAACUUCUGGAACAGAUAUUGCUUUCAUUGUAAAGAAUCACUGCUCAAAUGAAACAGCGCUUGAAGGGUUCAAAAUUGAAGAGAUAGUACAGGCAUGGAAUGAGAUGUACGAUGCUCAGGGGUGGCAGUUUGGUGAUCCAUCAUUUCGACUUGAACCAUUGUUUCGUCGGCGUGUUCCUAAACUCCAUUCCAUAUUGGAGCAGUUUUAAGUUUUCUUCUUUAGUUAAAAAUUCUUCAGAGGCAUGAUUUCUUUUGUCUUGGUAUUUUUGAAGCUGUCUUCAUCCCCUGCUAAGACGGGGAUUUUUGUUCUGCAUAUUUAGCUCAUGUUCGGUGCUAUGAUUGGAUUAUUUUUUCUGAUGCCAGUGUUAUACUAGUUGGGAUUUGAGACUAGAAAAGCUGGUUAUAUAUAUUUAUUUUGUUUUUAUACUUGAAGAGAUUUGCUGGAGGGUUUCAUUCUUUAAGGUGUACCAGUAUAUUGGAUGAUUUGAUUUGUUCAGCUUGCACCAAAAAUAUAUACACAUACAGAUUUUUUUCAUAGGUAAAGGCUUGUGAUUAAUAUUGUAAUGUGUCCUUGGUGAGUGAUUAAGUGGUGGAAUGUAACAAUUUAUGGAUGUCAAGUACCACAUUAUAUUAUUCAUUUUUAUC